CCUACGGGGGGCAGCAGUGGGGAAUAUUGCACAAUGGGCGCAAGCCUGAUGCAGCCAUGCCGCGUGUGUGAAGAAGGCCUUCGGGUUGUAAAGCACUUUCAGCGGGGAGGAAGGCGGUGAGGUUAAUAACCUCAUCGAUUGACGUUACCCGCAGAAGAAGCACCGGCUAACUCCGUGCCAGCAGCCGCGGUAAUACGGAGGGUGCAAGCGUUAAUCGGAAUUACUGGGCGUAAAGCGCACGCAGGCGGUCUGUCAAGUCGGAUGUGAAAUCCCCGGGCUCAACCUGGGAACUGCAUUCGAAACUGGCAGGCUAGAGUCUUGUAGAGGGGGGUAGAAUUCCAGGUGUAGCGGUGAAAUGCGUAGAGAUCUGGAGGAAUACCGGUGGCGAAGGCGGCCCCCUGGACAAAGACUGACGCUCAGGUGCGAAAGCGUGGGGAGCAAACAGGAUUAGAUACCCGUGUAAUC
This 465-nucleotide ribosomal RNA is filed under the name uncultured Klebsiella sp. RNAcentral describes it as "bacterial SSU rRNA". It matches the Rfam family "Bacterial small subunit ribosomal RNA", at positions 338 to 795 of the family's 1533-position model. The record is from RNAcentral. Lineage: Bacteria; Pseudomonadati; Pseudomonadota; Gammaproteobacteria; Enterobacterales; Enterobacteriaceae.